Rhodamnia argentea is the source of this 527-nucleotide long non-coding RNA. RefSeq lists it as uncharacterized. The record is from RefSeq and is a predicted model, not a curated record. Lineage: Eukaryota; Viridiplantae; Streptophyta; Magnoliopsida; Myrtales; Myrtaceae. The transcript is spliced from 2 exons.
UGGUCAAACGUGGACUCAAAUUCAAGUCUUUUGUCGACGAAUGCGUGCCGAGGAUCAAGCUUGGGAAACGUUAAAAAAUGUAAAACCAAAAGCCAUGUCCAAAAGCAGAAAGCUUUGGGAGGAGGUACCGUAAUCCGACAGAGAACUUUUGUUUCAUAGAACCGCCAUUGAAGGUGAAGAGAGAGAGAGGACCCGCAGCGACUUCUCUGCCUACUCGCUACCAGCAUUAAAAAUCCCAACUUUGCAGUUAUUUCUCCUGUAUCUAGCGCCUCCCACCGAAAAACUCUCUCUCUCUCUCUCAAAUCCCAGCAUUGCUAGAAACUUUCUUUAAGUAGGGGGAGGAGGACAGGGUAAAGCUGUUCCAAGUGAGAAUUCAGAAGCUGGGUGUCUCAGAAAACUGCAGCUAGCAGCUGGGUAACAUUAUCUCGGGUUGGAACCCCAUUUAAAGUGCGUGAGAAAUGGAGGUCACAAAACUAAGAAAAGCAGGAUCUUUCAGGUCCUCUUCAUGAUUUCAAGGAUUGAGGAAG